Molecule: small nucleolar RNA, 86 nt
Filed under: Salix viminalis (osier)
Lineage: Eukaryota; Viridiplantae; Streptophyta; Magnoliopsida; Malpighiales; Salicaceae
Rfam family: Small nucleolar RNA U61
Source: RNAcentral
AAGCUGUGAGGAAAUUCUCUGUCCCGGAGACGGUCUCAGAUGAGUUCGUCUUUGACGGCUGACAACCUCUAAGAAGUUCUGAGCUU